This 525-nucleotide ribosomal RNA is filed under the name Trichoderma brevicompactum. RNAcentral's name for it is "eukaryotic LSU rRNA". The stretch from base 203 to 358 matches the Rfam family "5.8S ribosomal RNA". Lineage: Eukaryota; Fungi; Ascomycota; Sordariomycetes; Hypocreales; Hypocreaceae. The record is from RNAcentral.
CCGAGUUUACAACUCCCAAACCCCAAUGUGAACGUUACCAAACUGUUGCCUCGGCGGGAUUUCUGCCCCGGGCGCGUCGCACCCCCGGACCAAGGCGCCCGCCGGAGGACCAAUUUACAAACUCUUUUGUAUAUCCCAUCGCGGAUUCUUUACAUUCUGAGCUUUCUCGGCGCUCCUAGCGAGCGUUUCGAAAAUGAAUCAAAACUUUCAACAACGGAUCUCUUGGUUCUGGCAUCAAUGAAAAACGCAAUGUAAAUUGCAUAAAUUAAUGUGAAUUGCAGAAUUCAUUGAAUCAUCUAAUCUUUGAACGCACAUUGCGCCCGCCAGUAUUCUGACGGGCAUGCCUGUCUCAAACCCCUCCGGGGGGUCGGCGUUGGGGACCUCGGGAGCCCCUAGACGGGAUCCCGGCCCCGAAAUACAAUGGCGGUCUCGCCGCAGCCUCUCCUGCUCCUGCUUUGCACAACUCGCACCGGGAGCGCGGCGCGUCCACGUCCGUAAAACACCCAACUUUCUGAAAUGUUGACC